Molecule: ribosomal RNA, 497 nt
Filed under: uncultured bacterium
Lineage: Bacteria
Description: partial 16S ribosomal RNA
Rfam family: Bacterial small subunit ribosomal RNA
Source: RNAcentral
GAUGAACGCUGGCGGCGUGCCUAAUACAUGCAAGUCGAGCGAACGGACGAGAAGCUUGCUUCUCUGAUGUUAGCGGCGGACGGGUGAGUAACACGUGGAUAACCUACCUAUAAGACUGGGAUAACUUCGGGAAACCGGAGCUAAUACCGGAUAAUAUUUUGAACCGCAUGGUUCAAAAGUGAAAGACGGUCUUGCUGUCACUUAUAGAUGGAUCCGCGCUGCAUUAGCUAGUUGGUAAGGUAACGGCUUACCAAGGCAACGAUGCAUAGCCGACCUGAGAGGGUGAUCGGCCACACUGGAACUGAGACACGGUCCAGACACCGACGGGAGGAAGCAGUAGGGAAUCGUACGCAAUGGGGGAAAGACUGACGGUGCAACGCCGCGUGAGUGAGGAAGGUCGUCGGAUCGGAAAACUCUGUUAGUAGGGAAGAACAUAAGUGUGAGUAACUGGGCACAUCGUGACGGUACCUAAUCAGAAAGCCACGGCUAACUACGUG